CCUACGGGAGGCAGCAGUGGGGAAUCUUGCGCAAUGGGCGAAAGCCUGACGCAGCAACGCCGCGUGCGGGAAGAAGGCUUUCGGGCUGUAAACCGCUUUCAGCAGGAACGAAAAUGACGGUACCUGCAGAAGAAGGAGCGGCCAACUAUGUGCCAGCAGCCGCGGUGAUACAUAGGCUUCAAGCGUUGUCCGGAUUUAUUGGGCGUAAAGAGUUCGUAGGCGGUCGAGUAAGUCGGGUGUGAAAAUUCUGGGCUCAACCCAGAGACGCCACCCGAUACUGCUUGACUUGAGUUCGAUAGGGGAGUGGGGAAUUCCUAGUGUAGCGGUGAAAUGCGCAGAUAUUAGGAGGAACACCGGUGGCGAAGGCGCCACUCUGGAUCGAUACUGACGCUGAGGAACGAAAGCAUGGGUAGCAAACAGGAUUAGAUACCCUGGUAGUCCAUGCCGUAAACGGUGGGCACUAGGUGUGGGUUUCUAUUAACGAAAUCCGCGCCGUCGCUAACGCAUUAAGUGCCCCGCCGUCGGGAGGUACGGUCGCAGAACUAAACUACAAAGAAGUUAGACGGCGNGAGACGUGCCGAACGGACGACGACGAGGGGAGGUAGG
RNAcentral lists this ribosomal RNA (606 nucleotides) under uncultured bacterium. RNAcentral's name for it is "bacterial SSU rRNA". The stretch from base 1 to 520 matches the Rfam family "Bacterial small subunit ribosomal RNA", at positions 338 to 873 of the family's 1533-position model. The record is from RNAcentral.